AAGUGUUCGACAAACAGCAGGCAAACACGAUCUUCUGGAGCCCUCAGGGGCAGUUCGUGGUCUGAGGAGUAUGAAUGGUGCCUUAGCAUUUGUCGACACUUCCGACUGUACUGUCAUGAACAUUGCAGAGCACUACAUGGCCUCUGACGUCGAGUGGGAUCCAACUGGGCGCUGUGUGGUCACUUCUGUGUCCUGGUGGAGCCAUAAGGUGGACAACGCUUACUGGCUGUGGACAUUCCAAGGACGCCUUCUGCAGAAGAAUAAUAAAGAUCGCUUCUGCCAGCUGCUGUGGAGACCACGGCCCCCCCACACUUCUCAGCCAGGAACAGAUAAAGCAAAUUAAAAAGGAUCUGAAAAAAUACUCCAAGAUCUUUGAACAGAAGGACCGUUUGAGCCAGUCGAAAGCAUCAAAGGAAUUGGUGGAGAGGAGGAGAACCAUGAUGGAAGAUUUCCGGAAAUACCGAAAAACGGCCCAAGAACUCUACAUGAAGCAGAAAAAUGAACGUCUAGAAGUGAGAGGAGGGGUGGACACUGACGAGCUGGACAGCAACGUGGAUGACUGGGAGGAGGAGACCAUUGAGUUCUUUGUCACUGAGGAGGUGAUUCCUCUUGGGAACCAGGAGUGACCUGAGCACUGUGUGCAUCACCACAUCGUGCCCUGAAGCGGAGGCCACCCUUUUGCAGAAAGCCUGCACAACUCUGAAUCUGUACCUGUGCUCUCUCUCACUCUGGGCUGUGAACGCACCUGGGAUUCUUCCAUCCUGACACUUUUUUGUGCCUUUAAACCCCUGGUGUGCACAGUGGGGAGGUUUCGAGGCACUGCUUUGGUUUUUCUCAUCUGGAUUUGUCAACCACCAGUGGUUGCCGAGCAAGACUCCCAGCGGUGCUCCUGUCGUCUCCUCUCCUCCUGCGGUGGUGUUCCAGGGGUUCCACCUGCUGCUGAGCUGGGUUUUAGUUCAAGGACUCACUGUUUUCUAUGUGGGCCAGUGUUGGGUGUGUCCUGGUGACUGGCAGGGGGACAGCAUACUGCCUGUGUCCCACCGAGCUCAGAGGUGCCAUGGCCGUGGACUCCGUGGUGCAGGUGUGGCAGGUUCUCUCAGCAGGUUGAAUGUGGAAAUAAAGCAACCCUGUGUGAAAAAGC
This is a non-coding RNA of Marmota flaviventris (yellow-bellied marmot), 1141 nucleotides long. The record is from RefSeq and is a predicted model, not a curated record. Lineage: Eukaryota; Metazoa; Chordata; Mammalia; Rodentia; Sciuridae.